CCGGGGGUCGCAUAGCGGCAAUUGCACGAGGCUGUAAACCUCGCGGGCUUCGCCCUUCGAAGGUUCGAGUCCUUCUCCCCGGACCA
This 86-nucleotide transfer RNA is filed under the name candidate division WWE3 bacterium. Its description in RNAcentral is "tRNA-Tyr". It matches the Rfam family "tRNA". From Rfam's summary of the family: Transfer RNA (tRNA) molecules are approximately 80 nucleotides in length. Their secondary structure includes four short double-helical elements and three loops (D, anti-codon, and T loops). The record is from RNAcentral. Lineage: Bacteria; candidate division WWE3.